Molecule: ribosomal RNA, 465 nt
Filed under: uncultured bacterium
Lineage: Bacteria
Description: partial 16S ribosomal RNA
Rfam family: Bacterial small subunit ribosomal RNA
Source: RNAcentral
GACGAACGCUGGCGGCGUGCUUAACACAUGCAAGUCGAACGGAAAGGCGCUCCUUGCCGGGUUAUCGAAUGGCGAACGGGUGGGUAACACGUGGGAGAUCUGCCCUGCACUUGGGGAAACGCCUGGGAAACUGGGUCUAAUACCGGAAAGGAGACACUUUUAGUGUGAUGGUUGGAAAGUAUUUUCGGUGUAGGAUGAGCUCGCGGCCUAUCAGCUUGGUGGUGGGGUAAUGGCCUACCAAGGCGGCGACGGGUAGGCGGCCUGGUGGGGUGGGCGGCCACCUUGGGGCUGCGAGGCGGCCCAGACUCCUACUGGGGGCGGCAGUGGUGAGUAUUACUCAAUGGGCGCGAGCCUGCUGCAGCGACGCCGCGUUGUGGAUGACGGCCUUCGGGUUGUAAAAUCCUUUCUCUAGGGACGAAGCUUUUUGUGACGGUACCUAGAGAAGAAGCACCGGCUAACUACGUG